AUUGAACGCUGGCGGCAGGCUUAACACAUGCAAGUCGAGCGGGGGAAGGUAGCUUGCUACCGGACCUAGCGGCGGACGGGUGAGUAAUGCUUAGGAAUCUGCCUAUUAGUGGGGGACAACAUCUCGAAAGGGAUGCUAAUACCGCAUACGUCCUACGGGAGAAAGCAGGGGAUCUUCGGACCUUGCGCUAAUAGAUGAGCCUAAGUCGGAUUAGCUAGUUGGUGGGGUAAAGGCCUACCAAGGCGACGAUCUGUAACGGGUCUGAGAGGCUGAUCCGCCACACUGGGACUGAGACACGGCCCAGACUCCUACGGGAGGCAGCAGGGGGGAAUAUUGGACAAUGGGGGGAACCCUGAUCCAGCCAUGCCGCGUGUGUGAAGAAGGCCUUAUGGUUGUAAAGCACUUUAAGCGAGGAGGAGGCUACUUUAGUUAAUACCUAGAGAUAGUGGACGUUACUCGCAGAAUAAGCACCGGCUAACUCUGUGCCAGCCGCCGCAGUAA
Molecule: ribosomal RNA, 501 nt
Filed under: uncultured bacterium
Lineage: Bacteria
Description: partial 16S ribosomal RNA
Rfam family: Bacterial small subunit ribosomal RNA
Source: RNAcentral